This 488-nucleotide ribosomal RNA is filed under the name Fusarium redolens. RNAcentral's name for it is "eukaryotic LSU rRNA". The stretch from base 123 to 276 matches the Rfam family "5.8S ribosomal RNA". The record is from RNAcentral. Lineage: Eukaryota; Fungi; Ascomycota; Sordariomycetes; Hypocreales; Nectriaceae.
UGACAUACCUUACUGUUGCCUCGGCGGAUCAGCCCGCUCCCGGUAAAACGGGACGGCCCGCCAGAGGACCCCUAAACUCUGUUUCUAUAUGUAACUUCUGAGUAAAACCAUAAAUAAAUCAAAACUUUCAACAACGGAUCUCUUGGUUCUGGCAUCGAUGAAGAACGCAGCAAAAUGCGAUAAGUAAUGUGAAUUGCAGAAUUCAGUGAAUCAUCGAAUCUUUGAACGCACAUUGCGCCCGCCAGUAUUCUGGCGGGCAUGCCUGUUCGAGCGUCAUUUCAACCCUCAAGCCCUCGGGUUUGGUGUUGGGGAUCGGCGAGCCUUUCUGGCAAGCCGGCCCCGAAAUCUAGUGGCGGUCUCGCUGCAGCCUCCAUUGCGUAGUAGUAAAACCCUCGCAACUGGAACGCGGCGCGGCCAAGCCGUUAAACCCCCAACUUCUGAAUGUUGACCUCGGAUCAGGUAGGAAUACCCGCUGAACUUAAGCAAAC